CGGGCCGAGCACUGACGAAGGCGCCGCGGGGCAGGCGGGUUGCCAUGGAGCCGACGGCUUGUCUGUGUUGGGCAGAAGGACAUGGCGGAUUUCGACAGUUACAAUGAUCGGCAGCAGUUUGGCAGCGGCGGGGUCCGGGGAUUCUGCAAGCCAUCUGAAAAUUGACAAACUUCAACAGAUGUGUAGUGGAGAGUAUGCUGACUGGUUGCAUCACGACCUGGUUUGGAAACAACAUGGAAAGAUCUACAGACCAGACCAUCACAGGAAAAGCCAAGGAGUACUGUCACAUGAAAGUGGCGUCCAUCAUUUAGGACCCCCACCACUCAGGCCCUGUUCUUCUCGCUGCUGUCAUCAGGAAGGAGGUACAAAAGCCUCAACUCCCACACCACCAGGUUUAGGAAUCCUUCAAACAUCCGGCUCUUGAACCAGCAUGGACAAUUCCACUUACCCCUACAUUGAACUGAUUUCACAACCUAUGGACUGACUUUCAAGAACACUACAAAUCAUAUUCACAAUAUUAUUUAUUAUUAUUGUAUUUCCAGUUUGUUGUCUUGUGCACAUUGGUUGUUUGCCUUUGUUUAGUGCAAUUUUCAUUGAUUCUAUUGUGUUUCUUUGUAUCUACUGUGAAUGCUCGCAAGAAAAUAUUUGUACUUUGAUAAAUGAAUAGUUGAAGAUGCCUGAGUAUAUACUGAAUAUAAGCUUGAAUAUAUACUGCUGAAUCUGAAUAACAAUCAGUGAUAAAUUAGAACUGAGUUCUUAAGACCAUAGUUAUACUUAAACUCAAUUUUGUUCUUUAUUAAUUUGUUUAAUGGACAUCUACUCCAAAAUUGAAUGUUUUAGUCUACAAGGAAGCUGUUUCAUUGUGUUGUGCGUCAGUUGACAUUUCAGUUCCCUUCGAACUUGUUGAGUAGGAUAUUUAUGUCACGAUAGUGAUCUGCAUUGAUCAAAUUUUUUUUCAUUUAGUGGGUAGUGGUGGGAAGAGAGGGAUUGGCAAGUAGUAAAUAGAAAAAGAAACCUUUAAGAAUAUGAAACAGUAUAGUACAGGAUGGGUUUACAGCCCACAAUGUUAUGCCAACCUACUCCACAGUCAACCUAACACUUCCCUCCUACACAGCCCAUAACCCUCCAUUAUGUUCCAUUCAUGUACCUGUCUGCGAGACUCUUAAAUGACCUUGUUGAAUCAGCAUCUGUCAACUCCAGCAGUGCAUUCUAAGCCCCUAUCACUGUGUAAAAGAGAAAAAGAAAUCUUAUCUCUACUUACCUUAAAUGGAUGUCCUUUGGAAAAAUGUGCACUCUCCAUAUGCCUCUCAUAAUCUUAUAUACCUGCCUGAUUUGGGGGUGGGGGGGUGGGCAGUUGGCUGUUUACCGAGGCAGAAGCGUAGGCGGAGUCCAUGAAGGAGAGGUAGGUUUCCGUGAUGAGCUGAGCUGUGUGUCCAUAAUACUUUUCAGAUUAUUUCUGUCUCAGGUAGAACAGUUGCUGUACCUAACCAUGAUGCAUCUAGAAAAUCUGGUGAGGGUCAAAGUGGGCAUGCCAAAUUUGUUUUAGCUUCCUGAGAAAGUAGAGGCACUGAUUACGUGGUUGGACCAUGACACGCUAUUGAUGAUGUUCAUUCCUGGACACUUGAAGUUUUCAGCUGUCUCAACAUCAGCAGUGUGUGCAUUGUUAUUCCCCCACCCUCCCCUCCACUUGCUGUAGUUUGACCAGCUGUUUCAUUUUUUCUGUCCUUGAGACAAAAUCAUGACACUAUUCCACUAAACUAUCACUUUCCUGUACUCCAGCUCAUCAUUGUUUGAGAUGUGGCCCAUGAUAGUGAUGUCACCUGCAAACAUGCAUGGAGUGAGAGUGGGAUCUGGCUACACAGUCAUGAGUGAAUAGGGAGAAGAGUUGGGUUGAGGAUGCAACCAUGUGGGGCACCGGUUUUGAGAAUCAAGGUGGAAGAAUCAGGUUUAUUAUCACCAGCAUGUGUCAUGAAAUUUGUUAACUUAGCAGCAGCAGUUCAAUGCAAUACAUAAAAUAGAAAGAAAAAAAAUAAUAAGUAGAUCAAUUACAGUAUAUUUAUAUAGAACAGAUUAAAAAAUCAUGUGUGUGCCUUCAGGCUUCAGUACCUCCUACCUGAUAGUAACAGUGAGAAAAGGGCAUGUCCAGAGUGCUGGGGGUCCUCAAUAAUGGAUGCUGCCUUUCUGAGACACCUAGUGAUUGUGAUUCGUUAGUCAGGAAGUCAAGGGUUCAGUUGCAAAGGGAGGUGUUGAGUCCCUUGUUCAGGUGUGUGAAAUAGUGUUUAUUUGGAAUUAUAGUAUUAAAGGCAGAGCUGUGGUCAAUAAAUAGUCUCUGUCUAAUAGUUUAGUGUUUGUUUUGAAUUACAAUAAUAUUGAAGCCAAGAAUCAGACUGAAGUGAUGUGACUAGUAGAUCCUGUAAGAGACAAGUAUCUGUUCCCCUUUUGCUCUGUAUUCUGUGUUGUGUGUUUAUAAUGUUAAUUGGACACAUGAGUGAGGACAUGGUAAAAGCAAAGCGAAUAAGUUAUGUAUUCAAAGUACCUUUAUUAUCCAAGAAUGUUUAAAUUACAGAACCUUGAGAUUUGUUUGCUCACAGGUAGUCACAAAACAAGAAAUGAAAAAGAAACCAAUUAAAGAAAAAAGCAUAAAAAUAAAAGACCAACAGCCGAUAAGCAAGAGAAAAAAACACAUCAUGCAAAGUAUUGAAGCGAGCAACAGCAAUCCGAACCAAAAUUGAGUACUUAGAUCUGAACCCCAGAGUAGGCUAAAAACCUGGCUUAUCAGUUAAUCAUAUUAGCGGAUACGGAGCAUAACAGCCAGGAAAGUCUUCAUAGCCUCAGCGUUGUAGAGAGAGAGAGAGAGGAGAGACCGUCGUGGAGGACAAGUGAAAUCGGUUUCCAGAGCAAUCCAACCUCACACCCAGGUUAGUUGUACGGGCACUGAAUCUCCUCUGCCCAGGCUCCGACUUCCCUUGGUGCCCAGUGCAAUCCAACCUACACCCAGGUUAGUUGUAUGGGCAUUGGGACUCCAUCUGCAAUGAUUCUACAAAACACCACCUCAGCUCAUCCCCUGAACUUACCUCACCACGCUUGCCUUUGCACUGUUUGUGGUGAUAAUUAUAUACAGUUUACCUCAAAAAAGGUAUUUUUAGUCAUGUCUUUAGCCAGAUUUCUUAACUGUCUGACUA
Hypanus sabinus (Atlantic stingray) is the source of this 3182-nucleotide RNA transcript. It is a transcript of the gene named eukaryotic translation initiation factor 4H-like, with no coding region annotated. The transcript is spliced from 2 exons. NCBI's taxonomy places the organism in Eukaryota, Metazoa, Chordata, Chondrichthyes, Myliobatiformes, Dasyatidae. The record is from RefSeq and is a predicted model, not a curated record.